Molecule: ribosomal RNA, 185 nt
Filed under: uncultured bacterium
Lineage: Bacteria
Description: partial 16S ribosomal RNA
Rfam family: Bacterial small subunit ribosomal RNA
Source: RNAcentral
UACGAAAGGUGCGAGCGUUAAUCGGAAUUACUGGGCGUAAAGCGCGCGUAGGCGGUUUGUUAAGUCAGAUGUGAAAGCCCCGGGCUCAACCUGGGAAUUGCAUUUGAAACUGGCAGGCUAGAGUGCAGUAGAGGGAGGUGGAAUUUCCGGGUGUAGCGUGAAAUGCGUAGAGAUCGGAAGGAACA